Molecule: ribosomal RNA, 16 nt
Filed under: Biatoropsis usnearum
Lineage: Eukaryota; Fungi; Basidiomycota; Tremellomycetes; Tremellales; Tremellaceae
Also listed under: 1 other name
Description: partial 18S ribosomal RNA
Source: RNAcentral
UGACCUGCGGAAGGAU